GGGAAGUUGGCUCAGUGGUAGAGCACUUGCCUUGUAUGCAAGGCCCUGGGUUUGAUUCCUCA
RNAcentral lists this transfer RNA (62 nucleotides) under Dipodomys ordii (Ord's kangaroo rat). It matches the Rfam family "tRNA". Rfam says of the family: Transfer RNA (tRNA) molecules are approximately 80 nucleotides in length. Their secondary structure includes four short double-helical elements and three loops (D, anti-codon, and T loops). Lineage: Eukaryota; Metazoa; Chordata; Mammalia; Rodentia; Heteromyidae. The record is from Rfam by way of RNAcentral.